GAUGAACGCUGGCGGCGUGCCUAAUACAUGCAAGUCGAACGAAAAGACGGUGAGCUUGCGCCUCUGCCGUUAGCGGCGGACGGGUGGGUAACACGUAGAUAACCUACCUAUAAUUCUGGGGUAACUUCGGGAAACCGGUGCUAAUAACGGCUAACAUGUUGUACCGCAUGAUGCAACAGUUAAAGAGAGUCUUGGUGUCACUUAGAGAUGGUUCCGCGCCGCAUUAGCUAGUUGGUAAGGUAACGGCUCACCAAGGCAACGAUGCGUAGCCGACCUGAGAGGGUGAUCGGCCACACUGGAACUGAGACACGGUCCAGACUCCUACGGGAGGCAGCAGUAGGGAAUCUUCGGCAAUGGGCGAAAGCCUGACGGAGCAACGCCGCGUGAGUGAAGAAGGUCUUCGGAUCGUAAAACUCUGUUAUUAGGGAAGAAAAACUGCGUAAGUAACUAUGCAUGUCUUGACGGUACCUAAUCAGAAAGCCACGGCUAACUACGUG
This 497-nucleotide ribosomal RNA is filed under the name uncultured bacterium. RNAcentral's name for it is "partial 16S ribosomal RNA". It matches the Rfam family "Bacterial small subunit ribosomal RNA", at positions 28 to 507 of the family's 1533-position model. The record is from RNAcentral.